Microcebus murinus (gray mouse lemur) is the source of this 2714-nucleotide non-coding RNA. The record is from RefSeq and is a predicted model, not a curated record. Lineage: Eukaryota; Metazoa; Chordata; Mammalia; Primates; Cheirogaleidae.
CCCCAGGCCGGGAAGGGGGCCCAGCAGGAAAGGCGCGGAGGGCGCCCAGCGGGCGAGACUGCGAUGAAGAGGCGCUUGUCCUCAGGCUCGGUCACGUGCAAGCCAGCGCCCCAGGCCACCGAAGUGAAUGAAGCAGACCUCUAUGUACUGACUUGGAACAACAGCCAAGAUGUUAACUGAGAAAACAAGAUGCAAACAGUGAUUAUAGAAUACUACAAUUUGUGUGUGAGUGUGUUUUAAGGAGCGAGGGGGGACUAUAUUUACCUAUUUGCUGAUAGGCACGCAGAUCGCCCCUGGGUGAGACGCAAGGCCCUGGUGGCAGUGGCUGUUCCGGGGAGGGCCUGGCAAGUCGGAGGUGGGAGGGAAAUUUGUUUUUUGCUUGUCCUUCUGCACUGUUGGAAAGCUUUGGACUUUUGGUUGUUUUUGUUCUGCCAUGUGCGUGCCUGCCUCCCAUGCUGUUUUAAGGGUGUUUCAGAGAUCAGAGACUCCCCUUUCGGACUCAGAGACUUUCUGAAAGGCCUUGAGGUCGGACAAUGCUUUUCAGCUGUAAAAGGGUUUUGCCUGCUAUGAAACGAAAUUUUUGAAUCAACUUUCCUCUUGAAUAAUCUCUUUAUUCUACUGAUGAGGUGACAGAAGAAGAAAGGAGGAAAACCAUGGUUUCAGAGUCAAGCAGACCUGGGUUCGAGUCUAGCUCCGGCCUACCUCAGCCUUUUCCUCCCUGAAUCUCAGCUUUCUCCUCCAGGGGGAGAAAAGACCCCCCGGGACGAGCUCAGCCAGCACGGCCCGCGGACACCAACAGCGCAGACAGACCCAGACUGCUUGGCUGAGGACAGGGGUCCCAGCAGAAAGACGCCCAGGAAACCAGACCCCCCCUGCCCCCCUCGGGUUUUCCAGGAACGGCAAGAGCGUUCCCGCCCCCGCUUCCCGCAAGCCCGGAGCCAGGCAGGCUCGGCGCAGCGACGGCAGCUCACCCCGAACCGCGGAGGAGCAGGACGGCCACACACUAAGUGGCUAAUCGUGAGGGAAGUGUGUCUUCCCCUACGUUCAGAGACCCGGGGACGGCGUGGUGGCUCCAUGGGGUGCGCGGGGCUGUGAGGGCCCGGCCCGGCGGCAGGGUCGGCCGCCUCCUGCCGCGGGAGAUCUGGGAGGGCCUUAGGGCCAUAGGACGACCCCUGGCGACUCCAGGGUCUCGGGUUCUCCCUAGUCUCUGCUUGGCCGCCUCGAACGUGUGGCCUUUGUCUUCCUGCUGGCCGCGGUUGCAGGACGGCCGUUCCACCCCAGCGCACAUCCGCGUUCCAGGCAGGAAGAGGGGCUGGGCGGGCGCGUGCUCCUCAGGUUCCCCCGUCAGAAAGCUCUUCCAGGGCCCGGGGCCAACGUGCCUCCUCUUCGUUGGUCGCGCCCGGGCCCCGCGGCCGCUCCUAUAUGCGGGGGGUGGGACAGUGGCGCGUUAGCUGGCCCGCCGCCCUCCCGCAACGCCAGGGCUCUGUGAGCCAGGACGGCAGGACAGCGGUCUUGCGCGGGCGGCCGCUGUGUCCACAGCCCCCGAAGCAGGCGAGGGAACAGCCAUUCUGCGGAGGGGCCGCUGUGCGGGUGGGAGUCAGAGCCGGCCUCUCUGCGAGCAGGUAUUGCCGUGAAGGAAGCGGGGCAGCGAGUGCAAAGGCCCUGAGGCAGAGAGGGGCGUGGCGGUGGCUCUGGCCAUGAGCGUGAGAGAUGGAGGAGCCACAGCACGCGCUUGGCUUUCACCCCGGGUGAAGUGGGGGCCACGGGAGGGCUUUGAGCAGAGGAAGGACCUGCCCUGACUUAGGCUGUCCCUGGACCCCCUUGCUGCGUGUGGACAGCCGUCCUCGUGGGGGCCAGGAUGUGGACACGCCUGCAGCAGGAAGCAGGGUUUGCAGCCUCCUGACGCUUACAUCACAGAGGGAGGCAGGGGUUCGAGUGACAUUCUCAAAACGCACAGGAAAACCAAACAGGAUUUUCGGGUUAACCAGAAUCUGCCGGAACACGGCAGGUGCCCGGCAUGCCCCGGCCCCGGGCUCCCGGGUCCGCCAGCCUGCCCUGCAGCACCGGCAGGGCGCGCGGCGCUGUGGCGCUGGUGUCGCCGGCGGGUUUUCCCCUGUGCCCGCUGCCUGGCUGCUCCGGGCAGCCGUGGGGGGGGUGUGAGAGCUGAGCAGCCCGGCCCCGUCUGGGUGACAGUGGCCGGCUUCUGCCAAAGAUGCUGGCAACUUUGAACCUGAGAACAAGCCCUGACGUCCUUAACGAGUUCUGCAGAAACGAGCCCUGCGUCCACGCGCGCCGACCCGCAGCACCCAGCUGGCUUAUCGCGCCGCGCAGGCCUCCAAAGAGCAGCACGGCAUAUUUAUGUCUGUGGUUUGGGUUCCCAAACCUGUGACAUCAGAUAAGUGCGAUGCUCGCGAAAACAAACAACAUCACAGAGACGAAAACAAAAAAAAAAGCUACCCCAAAGAAGCCCCUGGUUUCAGCCUCAACUUCCUCUCCCAGGAGGAAGGGGCUCUCUCUGGCGGAGGCCCCACCACUUUGGGGGUGGGGAGGGGGAUGACGUCCUGCCGCUCCUGCACUGCUCCCGUCCCAGCCUUCACCUUUGACUUUUGCAGUCUUAACACCCCACCUGCAAAUGGAAACCCUGAUCUCCACCUCUCGGGGCCAACGAAAAAAAUAAUCAUAAAGUGACAAUAAAAAUGCACCAAUAAUUAUGA